This 84-nucleotide microRNA precursor is filed under the name Chlorocebus sabaeus (green monkey). RNAcentral describes it as "miRNA (ENSCSAG00000024342.1)". The record is from RNAcentral. Lineage: Eukaryota; Metazoa; Chordata; Mammalia; Primates; Cercopithecidae.
UAUUAGGUUGGUAAAUAAGUAAUGUGUUUUUUGCUAUUAAAAAUAAUGUCAAAAAGCUCAAUUACUUUUGCACCAACCUAAUAG